Molecule: long non-coding RNA, 3493 nt
Filed under: Salmo salar (Atlantic salmon)
Lineage: Eukaryota; Metazoa; Chordata; Actinopteri; Salmoniformes; Salmonidae
Description: lncRNA (ENSSSAG00000095141.1)
Source: RNAcentral
CGGCUGCGUGGUUUAACAAGAAAAAAAUUGAUUCAUAUAAUACCAUAUGUGUCUAUGAAACAGUCACCUCUCAAACCAAAAUUUGAGUUAAAAAUAAAUUUUACACUCACAGUGUACCUUUAAAUGUAUGUGUGUGUGUGUGUGUUGACUGUAUGCUUGUAUACACAUUUAGCUGUUGUCAUGGCGUCAGCUCAUGGGGAUCCAAAUAAAGAUCAAGUCUUAUAAAAUAAGUGAAUGUUUUUUUGUGAAUUUUAUAUAUGUUUACGGCUUUCUUACAGUGUAGGAGUGACUUUUUUUUAUUUAACUAAGCAUAUAAGGUGUUCACUUUUAUGAACUAAGUUUCCAUGGUGAUAUUAGUUGGUCUUUGAUAACAGAACACCCACAUCAAGAGGCUCAAAACCAGCUUUAUACUCAGAAAACAACUUCAAAACUCACUUCAGUCAUAAAAAAAACAAUUACAAUCAAUAUAUUCUCAUUAUAAUUCAUGACUAUAAUUACAUUUUUUCAAAAUCAUUGAUUGAAUAAAUUCCUUACAAAAAACAACAAAAUGUAGGCCACUCAAAACACCUGAGCUAGGAACCAUGACAACACAGCUGACUAACAAUACAAUACAGUGAUACUGUUGAAAUACAAAGGCUGUGUCCCAGAUGGCACCUUAUUCCCUCUAUAGUGCACUACUUUUGAUCAGAGCCCUGUAUGUGCCCUGUCAAAAGUGCCUGUGACGUACUUAACUGCACAUAUGUUUCAGGUGUCUAUACAGUACGGGUGAGUCCGAAAUGGCACCCCAUUCCCUAUAUAGUACACUACUUUUGACCAGAGCCCAAAUGGGCCCUGUUCAAAAUGAGUGCACUAUAUAGUGAAUAGUGUGACAAUUGGGCCACACACCAUGUGAUCAUGCAUUGGAAGGAAACUGGUUCAUAUUUGAAGUGGAGUAAAUAACUUCUUCCCUUUUCAGUUGUGUUAUGAGAAACCUUCGAAACUGAAUUCCUGUCCUCUCUUCAUCCUCUUUCUUUCUGUGUAAAAUCCCCCGUUCUUCUCUUUCCUCCUGUACAGCUCUGUUUUAUCCUCCUGUACCCUUGUUUUAUCCUCCUGUACUGCUCUGUUUUAUCCUCCUGUACCGCUCUGUUUUAUCCUCCUGUACUGCUCUGUUUUAUCCUCCUCUACCGCUCUGUUUUAUCCUCCUGUACCGCUCUGUUUUAUCCUCCUGUACCGCUCUGUUUUAUCCUCCUGUACCGCUCUGUUUUAUCCUCCUGUACCGCUCUGUUUUAUCCCCCUGUACCGCUCUGUUUUAUCCUCCUGUACCGCUCUGUUUUAUCCUCCUGUACCGCUCUGUUUUAUCCUCCUGUACCGCUCUGUUUUAUCCUCCUGUACCACUCUGUUUUAUCCUCCUGUGGAUGAACCUCUUCAAUUAUCUAUAUGUCAAUCCCCCUCUAGGUGCGUGUCAAUAGCCUAGACAUACAGUAUUGUCUGCGUUCCAAAUGGGACCUUAUUCAUAGUGCACAACUUUUGAACAAGGUUAAAGUUCGGGGUCAAAAGUAGGGCACUAUGAAGUGAAAAGGGUUACAUUUGAGACACACCCGUUUUGUCUCUUCUUCUGAUUCAACUCCUUUCCUUAAUCUGCACUGAUGAAAGAGAGCUGGACUGGGGAAAGUACCUAGAGGAUAGCUAGAGGACACCUAGAGCACAGCUAGAGGAUACCUAGAGCACAGCUAGAGGAUACCUAGAGGACAGCUAGAGGAUACCUAGAGCACAGCUAGAGGAUACCUAGAGGACAGCUAGAGUAGAGGAUAGCUAGAGAACAGCUAGAGGAUACCUAGAGGACAGCUAGAGUAGAGGAUAGCUAGAGAACAGCUAGAGGAUACCUAGAGGACAGCUAGAGGAUACCUAGAGGACAGCUAGAGGAUACCUAGAGAACACCUAGAGUAGAGGAUAGCUAGAGAACAGCUAGAGGAUACCUAGAGGACAGCUAGAGGAUACCUAGAGGACAGCUAGAGGAUACCUAGAGGACAGCUAGAGGAUACCUAGAGGACAGCUAGAGGACACCUAGAGGAUACCUAGAGGACAGCUAGAGGAUACCUAGAGGACAGCUAGAGGAUACCUAGAGGACACCUAAAGGAUACCUAGAGGACAGCUAGAGGAUACCUAGAGGACACCUAAAGGAUACCUAGAGAACACCUAGACUAGAGGAUACCUAGAGGACAGCUAGAGGAUACCUAGAGGACACCUAAAGGAUACCUAGAGAACACCUAGAGUAGAGGAUAGCUAGAGAACAGCUAGAGGAUACCUAGAGGACAGCUAGAGGACAGCUAGAGGAUACCUAGAGGAUACCUAGAGGACAGCUAGAGGAUACCUAGAGGAUACCUAGAGGACAGCUAGAGGAUACCUAGAGGACAGCUAAAGGAUACCUAGAGGACAGCUAGAGGAUACCUAGAGAACACCUAGAGUAGAGGGUAGCUAGAGAACAGCUAGAGGAUACCUAGAGCACAGCUAGAGGACACCUAGAGGACAGCUAGAGGAUACCUAGAGGACAGCUAAAGGAUACCUAGAGAACACCUAAAGGAUACCUAGAGAACACCUAGAGUAGAGGACACCUAGAGGAUACCUAGAGGAUACCUAGAGGAUACCUAGAGGACAGCUAGAGCAUACCUAGAGGACAGCUAAAGGAUACCUAGAGAACACCUAGAGUAGAGGACACCUAGAGGAUACCUAGAGGAUACCUAGAGGACAGCUAGAGGAUACCUAGAGGAUACCUAGAGGAUACCUAGAGGACAGCUAGAGCAUACCUAGAGGACAGCUAAAGGAUACCUAGAGAACACCUAGAGUAGAGGACACCUAGAGGAUACCUAGAGGAUACCUAGAGGAUACCUAGAGCAUACCUAGAGGACAGCUAAAGGAUACCUAGAGAACACCUAGAGUAGAGGACACCUAGAGGAUACCUAGAGGAUACCUAGAGGACACCUAGAGGAUACCUAGAGGACACCUAGAGGACAGCUAGAGGAUACCUAGAGGACACCUAGAGGAUACCUAGAGGAUACCUAGAGGACAGCUAGAGGAUACCUAGAGGACACCUAGAGGAUACCUAGAGGAUACCUAGAGGACAGCUAGAGGAUACCCUGAGGACUCGCUCUCUCUCUGUCGCUCGCUCUCUCACUAUUUUUCACUCUUUCACUCUUCUUUAAAUCUCCUCCCUCUUUCUCUAUCCCUCUCCCUCUCUCUAUCCCUCCUUCUCUCUCUCCUCCCUUUCCACUGCUUGCUCGUAAUCAUCGUCUCGCCUCCUGCGCCGACCCCUAGCCCCUCCCCUCCUCUCCCUGGUCGAAUCAGAGCCCUGCGACCCUGCGUCUCCGCCGAAGUCCUCCCUGAUCACCUCCUCCUGCUGCUCUUCAUCCUCAUCCUCAUCACUCUCCUCCGAGUUCGACUCGUCUGAGUUUUCCUCCUCCAGGUAACGAUAACCUUUGACCUGAGAAGGAAGUGACAUGGUCAACAUUAUAUUACA